RNAcentral lists this long non-coding RNA (438 nucleotides) under Nicotiana benthamiana. RNAcentral describes it as "long non-coding RNA (NBEN_LNC042479)". Lineage: Eukaryota; Viridiplantae; Streptophyta; Magnoliopsida; Solanales; Solanaceae. The record is from RNAcentral.
GAAGUACUAGUUAGGUCUUAGGUUUUAACAAAUCAUAAUUAAACUUUGUUAAAUGUGCAAAGAUCAAAUUAGCAUUUUAAAAUUUUAACAAAUGAAAAGCAACAUGUGUUAACGGAGCAAGGGCGCUACUUCAAAUUGGAAGAAUAGGGUUUUCUAAAGCAACCUUUUGGUUUUAAAGGGGGUGCUCUACUCGAGUGAGAUAAACUGGUUUGUUCUAACAGAAAAGAAAUGGCAGCUAUUCAGCAAAGUCUUUCCACUUCAAUCUCAUCAUCAACUUCUAAUUUCUCGGUUCGGCACAAACUCUGUCUAAGGUUACAUAUUUCAUCUCCUACGUUUUAUUUGAUUUCCUAACUCAGUUCUAGUUCUAUUAUUUUGGUGGGAUAGUUUCAAUUCAUAUGAUUUUUUAUUUGAAUCUCAUCCACUGCUUUAGUUAUCGAC